AGGAUGAACGCUGGCGGCGUGCUUAACACAUGCAAGUCGAACGAUGAAAGCCGGAGCUUGCUCUGGCUGGAUUAGUGGCGAACGGGUGAGUAACACGUGAGUAACCUGCCCUUGACUCUGGGAUAAGCACUGGAAACGGUGUCUAAUACCGGAUACGAGCUUCAGCCGCAUGGCUAGGAGCUGGAAAGAAUUUCGGUCAAGGAUGGACUCGCGGCCUAUCAGGUAGUUGGUGAGGUAAAGGCUCACCAAGCCGACGACGGGUAGCCGGCCUGAGAGGGUGACCGGCCACACUGGGACUGAGACACGGCCCAGACUCCUACGGGAGCAGCAGUGGGAAUAUGCACAAUGGCGCAAGCCUGAUGCAGCAACGCCGCGUGAGGGACGACGGCCGUUCGGUGUAAACCUCGUUUAGUAGGUACGAAGCGUAUGUGUUUACACGGAGUGACGGUAC
RNAcentral lists this ribosomal RNA (451 nucleotides) under uncultured soil bacterium. Its description in RNAcentral is "bacterial SSU rRNA". It matches the Rfam family "Bacterial small subunit ribosomal RNA", at positions 26 to 478 of the family's 1533-position model. The record is from RNAcentral.